UUGAACGCUGGCGGCAUGCUUUACACAUGCAAGUCGAACGGCAGCGCGGGGCAACCUGGCGGCGAGUGGCGAACGGGUGAGUAAUAUAUCGGAACGUACCCAAGAGUGGGGGAUAACGUAGCGAAAGUUACGCUAAUACCGCAUACGAUCUAUGGAUGAAAGUGGGGGAUCGCAAGAACCUCAUGCUCCUGGAGCGGCCGAUAUCUGAUUAGCUAGUUGGUGAGGUAAAGGCUCACCAAGGCGACGAUCAGUAGCUG
RNAcentral lists this ribosomal RNA (257 nucleotides) under uncultured bacterium. Its description in RNAcentral is "partial 16S ribosomal RNA". It matches the Rfam family "Bacterial small subunit ribosomal RNA", at positions 30 to 289 of the family's 1533-position model. The record is from RNAcentral.